CCUACGGGCGGCAGCAGUGAGGAAUAUUGGUCAAUGGACGAGAGUCUGAACCAGCCAAGUAGCGUGAAGGAUGACUGCCCUAUGGGUUGUAAACUUCUUUUAUAAAGGAAUAAAACGAGGCACGUGUGCCUUUUUGCAUGUACUUUAUGAAUAAGGAUCGGCUAACUCCGUGCCAGCAGCCGCGGUAAUACGGAGGAUCCGAGCGUGAUCCGGAUUUAUUGGGUUUAAAGGGAGCGUAGAUGGGUUGUUAAGUCAGUUGUGAAAGUUUGCGGCUCAACCGUAAAAUUGCAAUUGAUACUGGAAGUCUUGAGUACAGUUGAGGUAGGCGGAAUUCGUGGUGUAGCGGUGAAAUGCUUAGAUAUCACGAAGAACCCCGAUUGCGAAGGCAGCUUACUAAACUGUGACUGACAUUGAUGCUCGAAAGUGUGGGUAUCAAACAGGAUUAGAUACCCUUGUAGUC
RNAcentral lists this ribosomal RNA (460 nucleotides) under uncultured bacterium. RNAcentral's name for it is "partial 16S ribosomal RNA". It matches the Rfam family "Bacterial small subunit ribosomal RNA", at positions 338 to 795 of the family's 1533-position model. The record is from RNAcentral.